GGGCGUAAGCCCGUUGAUAACAGUUGUCAGGGUCAUCACCUUGUCUCUUUUCACCCCGUGUCAAAUUUCAGGAAUGUGCAAUAUCAGAGUGAUUGAAGAGUCGCAGUGAAUGAAAGAAACAAUGUAAAAUCCUUCGUCAAGUCAGCCAGGGUACGGCUCAUUUUUUGAGCAAAGAGCAGUACGG
Non-coding RNA from Caenorhabditis elegans, 184 nucleotides. The record is from Ensembl. Lineage: Eukaryota; Metazoa; Nematoda; Chromadorea; Rhabditida; Rhabditidae.